GUCCACGCCGUAAACGAUGAUAACUAGCUGUCCGGGCACUUGGUGCUUGGGUGGCGCAGCUAACGCAUUAAGUUAUCCGCCUGGGGAGUACGGCCGCAAGGUUAAAACUCAAAGAAAUUGACGGGGGCCUGCACAAGCGGUGGAGCAUGUGGUUUAAUUCGAAGCAACGCGCAGAACCUUACCAACGUUUGACAUCCCUAGUAUGGAUCGUGGAGACACUUUCCUUCAGUUCGGCUGGCUAGGUGACAGGUGCUGCAUGGCUGUCGU
RNAcentral lists this ribosomal RNA (267 nucleotides) under uncultured bacterium. RNAcentral's name for it is "partial 16S ribosomal RNA". It matches the Rfam family "Bacterial small subunit ribosomal RNA", at positions 793 to 1055 of the family's 1533-position model. The record is from RNAcentral.